This 228-nucleotide ribosomal RNA is filed under the name uncultured bacterium. RNAcentral's name for it is "partial 16S ribosomal RNA". It matches the Rfam family "Bacterial small subunit ribosomal RNA", at positions 103 to 334 of the family's 1533-position model. The record is from RNAcentral.
CGGGUGAGUAAUACGUCGGAACGUGUCUUCUAGUGGGGGAUAACUGCCCGAAAGGGCAGCUAAUACCGCAUGAGACCUGAGGGUGAAAGCGGGGGAUCGCAAGACCUCGCGCUGGAAGAGCGGCCGAUGUCCGAUUAGCUAGUUGGUGAGGUAAAGGCUCACCAAGGCGACGAUCGGUAGCUGGUCUGAGAGGACGACCAGCCACACUGGGACUGAGACACGGCCCAG